This 494-nucleotide ribosomal RNA is filed under the name uncultured bacterium. RNAcentral's name for it is "partial 16S ribosomal RNA". It matches the Rfam family "Bacterial small subunit ribosomal RNA", at positions 28 to 506 of the family's 1533-position model. The record is from RNAcentral.
GACGAACGCUGGCGGCGUGCCUAAUACAUGCAAGUAGAACGCUGAGGGGGGAGCUUGCUCUUCUGGAUGAUUUGCGAACGGGUGAGUAACGCGUAGGUAACCUGCCUGUUAGCGGGGGAUAACUAUUGGAAACGAUAGAUAAUACCGCAUAACAGUAGUUGUUGCAUGACAUUUGCUUAAAAGGUGCAAUUUCACCACUACCAGAUGAACCUGCGUUGUAUUAGCUAGUUGGUGGGGUAACGGCUCACCAAGGCGACGAUACAUAGCCGACCUGAGAGGGUGAUCGGCCACACUGGGACUGAGACACGGCCCAGACUCCUACGGGAGGCAGCAGUAGGGAAUCUUCGGCAAUGGACGGAAGUCUGACCGAGCAACGCCGCGUGAGUGAAGAAGGUUUUCGGAUCGUAAAGCUCUGUUGUAAGAGAAGAACGAGUGUGAGAGUGGAAAGUCCACACUGUGACGGUAUCUUACCAGAAAGGGACGGCAAACUACGG